AGGAAUGUAUAGCAAUAGCUAGUUGCAUCAUUGAAAAGGUGAUGUAAGAUCGACUAUGUUGAAUAAAAUUCUAGGUAGAAUUAUGAUAAUGACAUUGUCUGCCUAUGUGUCUUGACCAAAUUACGUGCCAGCAGUCGCGGUAAUACGUAGAAGACUAGUGUUAUUCAUGUUUAAUCGGUUUAAAGGGUACCUAGACGGCGAAUCAAGCUUUCAUAAUAAUAAAAGGACUAAUUCGCUAGAGUUACUUGCGAGGGGGCUAUAAAGUACUGGUGGUGUAGAGAUGAAAUUCUGUCAUACCUCUUUUCGAAAGAAUCAUGGCACAGGUAUAGGCGAAGGCAUCCCCUUAUGUGAUAACUGACGUUGAGGGACGAAGGCUUUGUGUAGCGAACAGGAUUAGAUACCCCAAUAGUCGAAGCAGAAAAUGAUGAAUGUCAUAGAUUAGAUAUAUAAGUUUAUUCUAUAAAUGAAAGUGUAAGCAUUCCACCUCAAGAGUAAUUUGGCAACAUUGGAACUGAAAUCAUUAGACCGUUUCUGAAACCAGUAGUGAAGUAUGUUGUUUAAUUUGACGACCCGCAAAAAACCUUACCACAGCUUGAAUAUUUAUAUUUUUUAUUGUAUUUUUGUUAAGAUUACUUCUGACUGCUUUGCAAAAUGAAGAUAUACAGUAAUGUAAUAAGUUGAAGAAGAAUAUUAAAAAGGAGGCAAUAAGAUAUAUUUACAAGCGUUGCACGGCUGUCUUCAGUUAAUGUCGUGAGACUUUGGUUAGUUCCAUUAAAUUAACGUAAACCCUUACUUUAUUUUUAUAUAGAGUAGUUCCCCGCUAUAUUGGAUAUGAU
Molecule: ribosomal RNA, 836 nt
Filed under: Myelochroa radiculata
Lineage: Eukaryota; Fungi; Ascomycota; Lecanoromycetes; Lecanorales; Parmeliaceae
Description: SSU rRNA
Rfam family: Bacterial small subunit ribosomal RNA
Source: RNAcentral